Rhinichthys klamathensis goyatoka is the source of this 540-nucleotide long non-coding RNA. RefSeq lists it as uncharacterized. The transcript is spliced from 4 exons. The record is from RefSeq and is a predicted model, not a curated record. NCBI's taxonomy places the organism in Eukaryota, Metazoa, Chordata, Actinopteri, Cypriniformes, Leuciscidae.
AAUUAAUUUACAUGGAUAAAGUAUUGCUCAAAGUUCAUAAAUGAACAUAUUUUACACGGAAGUAAAGGUAUAGACUACAGAAGAACGACCAAGACGAGUUUCAUGAAGAGCAAAAACACCUUCACACACUGAGAUCAUGGGCGCUACACCUUCUAAAGAUAAUGAACCGAUUGAGAAAAAGGAAAAACCAUUUUGUGAAAGUGAGGUCAGGUGAAGUUUGCAGAACAAUAUUCAUAACUUGAGAAAUGACAAAGAAGAUUCAGAAGAGAAGACGCAGAGAGUUUACAUUGAACUCCACAGAUUUGUGCUGAUGGUUGUAGUUGCGGCUCUUAUCGGCUCAGUUGUUGGAGCUCAAGCUGGAGUUUCGGGAUCUUGCAAGGGAAUAAUCUCCGGAGUUCUUGUAGGGAUGAUACUUUCAAAAUUGAUGUCAAUAAUUCAUGGCAACAUAUGAUUUUACAUUACUUUUACUCAUAAAAUAAGCAAUUUCAAGGUCUUACAGGCACACUGUUAACAAAUAUUUUCAUGAUUUGUUAUCACAAC